RNAcentral lists this ribosomal RNA (496 nucleotides) under uncultured bacterium. RNAcentral describes it as "partial 16S ribosomal RNA". It matches the Rfam family "Bacterial small subunit ribosomal RNA", at positions 28 to 506 of the family's 1533-position model. The record is from RNAcentral.
GAUGAACGCUGGCGGCGUGCCUAAUACAUGCAAGUCGAGCGAACAGAUGAGGAGCUUGCUCCUCUGACGUUAGCGGCGGACGGGUGAGUAACACGUGGAUAACCUACCUAUAAGACUGGGAUAACUUCGGGAAACCGGAGCUAAUACCGGAUAAUAUAUUGAACCGCAUGGUUCAAUAGUGAAAGACGGUUUUGCUGUCACUUAUAGAUGGAUCCGCGCCGCAUUAGCUAGUUGGUAAGGUAACGGCUUACCAAGGCAACGAUGCGUAGCCGACCUGAGAGGGGGAACGGCCACACUGGAACUGAGACACGGUCCAGACUCCUACGGGAGGCAGCAGUAGGGAAUCUACCGCAAUGGGCGAAAGCCUGACGGAGCAACGCCGCGUGAGUGAUGAAGGUCUUCGGAUCGUAAAACUCUGUUAUUAGGGAAGAACAAAUGUGUAAGUAACUAUGCACGUCUUGACGGUACCUAAUCAGAAAGCCACGGCUAACUACGU